This 301-nucleotide ribosomal RNA is filed under the name uncultured bacterium. RNAcentral's name for it is "partial 16S ribosomal RNA". It matches the Rfam family "Bacterial small subunit ribosomal RNA", at positions 509 to 809 of the family's 1533-position model. The record is from RNAcentral.
CAGCCGCCGCGGUAAUACGUAGGGUGCGAGCGUUAAUCGGAAUUACUGGGCGUAAAGCGUGCGCAGGCGGUUUUGUAAGACAGGCGUGAAAUCCCCGGGCUCAACCUGGGAAUGGCGCUUGUGACUGCAAAGCUAGAGUGCGGCAGAGGGGGAUGGAAUUCCGCGUGUAGCAGUGAAAUGCGUAGAUAUGCGGAGGAACACCGAUGGCGAAGGCAAUCCCCUGGGCCUGCACUGACGCUCAUGCACGAAAGCGUGGGGAGCAAACAGGAUUAGAUACCCCCGUAGUCCCUGUCUUUUAUAA